UCGUAUAUAUGGUUUUGAAUAUAAAUAUCUCUGGUCCAGGGUUUCCAAUCACAGCACUGCUCCUGUGUGACCCAGGCAGCCCACUUAACCUUCCUGAACCACAGGCUCUCCAUAAGUAAAAAGUGAGACAAUAAAAUAAAUAUCUCAUAGAUGAGUUGUAAUAAUUCAAUGAGUAUCUGUUUAAAGCCUCUGGCAAAUUAAUUUCCAGCUCUUUCUGUCCCAACAACAAGAAAGGACAUUAACGCUCCUAGGAGCCUCUUCUCAAAGUUGUAGCUACUCCAAAGAAGCAAAUAAUAGGAAUGUAUAAAGGGAAGGAUUAUGUCAGCAAAACACUUUUUAAAAUUCUUAUGUGGUUAAUGAUGGUAGAAGAGAAACAAACAUAUAUAUAGAAUUUUCUAUGAGAAUGGGCUAUUGCUUUGGCUAAGACUCAAUUACCCUGGUAAAACUGUCCUCUUUUCUUUUCGUAGACACAUCCCACCCAAACUGCAUUCUUGUCUAGCGUGGAUCUGCACACUCACUGUUCCUACCAGCUCAUGUUGCCAGAGGCUAUUGCCAUCGUCUGCUCACCAAAGCAUAAGGACACUGGCAUCUUCAGGCUCACCAAUGCUGGCAUGCUUGAGGUUUCUGCUUGUAAGAAGAAGGGCUUUCAUCCACACACCAAGGACCCCAGGCUGUUCAGUAUAUGCAGACAUGUGUUGGUAAAAGACAUAAAAGUAGUUGUGUUGGACCUGAGGUGAUAUGUCCUGAAUAUAAACACCAUCAACACCAGACACCUGCCCAUGGACAUGUGGUUGCUGGAUUUUCUUAAGAUGUUUCCAGAAAUGACUGAUAUUUUAUAUUUAUACAUUUUAGAUCAGAAAGUUUGAUAUUUAUUGCUUUUGCAUAUUUUGAAGGUUUUUUUUUGGGGGGGUUGCUCUGUCUCGAGAGGUCACAAGGUGUUAAAUCAAUACCUAUUAAUGUACCCCAAUACUAUGACUAUAUAAUAAAUUGUGCUGCAAACAAUG
Molecule: long non-coding RNA, 1004 nt
Organism: Galeopterus variegatus (Sunda flying lemur)
Lineage: Eukaryota; Metazoa; Chordata; Mammalia; Dermoptera; Cynocephalidae
Exons: 3
Source: RefSeq, a predicted model, not a curated record